AACGAACGCUGGCGGCACGUCUAACCCAUGCAAGUCGAACGGCAGGCAGCAAUGCCGUGAUCGGCGGCCUGGUGAGUAACACGGGGUUAACGUUCCCCGAUGUCCGGCACAGCCUGUGGGGAUAGCUGGUAAUAACGGAUAGAUCACUGUUUAAGUGAGGUAGACAGCAGGAAAGGAGCUUCCGCUCCGCUACGCGUUGGGUCUGCCGCGCUGCAGUUAGCUGGAAGGUGGGGUAACGGCCCUCCCAGGCGACGAUCGCCAGCCGGUCUGAGAGGAUGAACGGACACACUGGGACUGAGACACGGUCCAGACUCCUACGGGAGGCAGCAGUGAAGAAUAUUGCGCAAUGGGCGGAAGCCUGAUGGAGCGAUGCCGCGUGAACGAAGAAGGCCGUAAGGUUGUAAAGUACUUUUCGGGCCGAGGAAGAAAGUACGGAGGAAAUGUCGGGACAUUGACGGUAGGGGAAGAAUAAGCACCGGCUAACUACGUG
This 490-nucleotide ribosomal RNA is filed under the name uncultured bacterium. RNAcentral's name for it is "partial 16S ribosomal RNA". It matches the Rfam family "Bacterial small subunit ribosomal RNA", at positions 29 to 507 of the family's 1533-position model. The record is from RNAcentral.